This 445-nucleotide long non-coding RNA is filed under the name Phoenix dactylifera (date palm). RNAcentral's name for it is "long non-coding RNA (PDAC_LNC014925)". Lineage: Eukaryota; Viridiplantae; Streptophyta; Magnoliopsida; Arecales; Arecaceae. The record is from RNAcentral.
UGAACUUAAGGGUCUGUAGGAAAAUAAAUGAUUUUAAAGUAGCGCACAUGAUCAAAUUAUCAAUGCUCUACCUCGUCGCCUUCUUUGUCCUCACUAUUGACCACUGCAAGGGCUGGGUCCUCGAUUCCUAUGACCAUUGUAUGCAAUUACGACUGUUUGAUCGCGAUUGAGUGGUUGUGAUUUUUUUAUUUUUCAGAAAACAUAAAUGAUGGGGUUCUUGUGGCAUGGCCCAUGGGCCUUCGGGUCGGGUUUGGCCCUUGAUUUUUUAAAAUUUUCAAGCCCAAGCCUGGUCGGAAGCCCGAGUAAACAACUCAGUCAAGGCUUGGGUAAGGGCGUAGCCUAGCCUAAUCCGGCCCUUUUCCAACCCUAAUUUUAGGAUUUGGGCAGGCUCAGAUGUAUGUAGCCUUACCGCUACUUGUAGGAGGCUGUUUUUGUAUUUUGAACC